AGAGUUUGAUCCUGGCUCAGGAUGAACGCUAGCUACAGGCUUGACACAUGCAAGUCGAGGGGGAAACGACAUCGAAAGCUUGCUUUUGUAUGGGCGUCGACCGGCGCACGGGUGAGUAACGCGUAUCCAACCUGCCCACCACUUGGGGAUAACCUUGCGAAAGUAAGACUAAUACCCAAUGAUAUCUCUAGAAGACAUCUGAAAGAAGAUUAAAGAUUUAUCGGUGAUGGAUGGGGAUGCGUCUGAUUAGCUUGGUUGGGCGGGGUAACGGGCCACCAAGGCUACGAUCAGUAGGGGUUCUGAGAGGAAGGUCCCCCACAUUGGAACUGAGACACGGUCCAAACUCCUACGGGAGGCA
This 358-nucleotide ribosomal RNA is filed under the name uncultured bacterium. RNAcentral describes it as "bacterial SSU rRNA". It matches the Rfam family "Bacterial small subunit ribosomal RNA", at positions 8 to 350 of the family's 1533-position model. The record is from RNAcentral.